CUCCCGAGUAGCUGGGACUACAGGCUGGUACACCCCUCCAAAGGAAGAUGGCUAAAUGUGUUGACUGUUGUAUGUUUGGACUAAUGUUGCUUUAAAGAAAAUCUUUCUAACAUGCAGACAAAAGCUUUGAGUGCCCCUAUUACAGCAGUACCGAAGAUGUUAGUUAAUAGAUAUUUUAGUGGAUAAUCUGUCAUCUGACAUCCAGUAUAAGUUACAGCCUUUGCAUUUUGCUCAUUUUAGAUAUCUUGGACUGAGCAGUGGGGCCUUUACUGUAUUUUUCCUGAUAAAUACACAUACUGGCCACUCCUUAUCUCUUUUUCUUGAAAAGUGAACUUUUUAAAGCAGCCAAGUCAACAUCAGGCUACUGAAGUUGAGGCUUUAGGGUAACUUUCCUAUAUUGAGCCCAUGGGUUACAAGGAUUUGCAAUAUAUUGUUCCAUUUACAGCCAAUACAGGUUUAAUCGAUGUUCAAUAUUGGUUUAGGAAAUUUAAGGCCUUCUAAAUCAUAAUAGCUCUUUCAUGUCUAAAACCAUUUUAUGAUAUUGCCAAAAUGUGAUAGGAAACCUACUCAUUAAAUUGUUAAACUUUUUAAUGACUAUGUGAAGAUAUGAAUUGUUUCCUGAAGAUAAUACUCUUAAUUGAGUUGUAUUGUACUUCUUAGGCAAAGCAGUGUAAAACUGUAUCAAUUAAGGCUUGUGAGUAGUGAUUUCCACUGGGGCAUCAGAGUCUUGGCUGGGCUGAAUCUGCUGCUUGUUGGUUCAGUGUUUCUUAUGAACAAGAGCCACAGUACAGAGCUUCAAGUUAUUUAAAAUACUAAGUCAUCUUACGUUUCCAUUUUAUUAACGGGAUGUUGCAAUCGUUUGUAAACUAAUAAACUUAUAAAGUGAUUGGCACAAAGACUCCUUGAGCAAAAGCUGUGCAGUUAAGUACAAAAAGAUACUUAAUUUGGAGACUCUUACAGUAAUUUUUGCCAUGUCAAAACAAUGGCUUUUACAUUGAAAGAUUAAUAGAAACUCUACAUAUGUUAAUUUUUUUAUAGAACCUGACUCAAAUCAAGGUACUCUCCAUUUUAUUGCCUUACCUGAAUCAGUCCUUUUUGGUUGGUAAUAGAUUUUUUUAUACACCCACGUUUGAUUUAAAAGUAAAUUCUAGUUCUUAAGCACUUUUAACAAAUCCAGAAGCACAUUUUUCUGCACAAACAAGUUACAAAGUUCAAAAGUGUUUCUUGUGCAUUAGCUUUGAGAUUCAGUUUUUAACUUUGUAAACCACAUCUGAGAGACUUGUCAUUUCUACAUUGUGUGUGUUUAAUUUCUUUUGAUUCCAUUUUGGUUAAGAGAGCAGUAAAUAGAUUUUCUGGUAUUCUUGUUCACUUGAUUACAUUUGUAUAAAGUUCUGAUUGCCAGUUGCUCAGAUAACAAGUGACAAGGCAGAAUUCUUUAAAUCAGUAAAGUUCCUUAAGCCUAAGGCUAAAUCUUGAAUACAUUGUUGAAUUCUUUAAUAUCCUGAUGGCAAGCAGACUGAUAGCUGCACAUUUGGCAUGCUUUGUUUAAUGGAUUUUAUUUUUAAUUGCAGAUUUAUUUGGCAAUGUACAGUAAAUUUUGUAAACUUGCAUCAAGUUUAUGAAUAAAGAACC
Molecule: long non-coding RNA, 1632 nt
Filed under: Homo sapiens (human)
Lineage: Eukaryota; Metazoa; Chordata; Mammalia; Primates; Hominidae
Description: HSALNT0382399
Source: RNAcentral